GUUUUAGUAUAUAGCACGUUUAUUACAAAAUAAAUUUAACUUGAAAAUGUCAAAAAGAUAAAAUGAUUCGACUAAUAAUUUGUCUUACGGUCUGUCGGAGGUGGUUCUAUUCCGGGAGGUUUGGUGAGGGUCUUGACUCGUCGGCGGUCUAAGAUCUGAGAAAGGAUCCAAAUAUUCCAAUCUCUGAUUUUGUUCUUGUCGUUUGAAUCGCAAAUCACUGGAUCUUGUAUUUCCGGUAUAAUUAGGUCACUCUCUGCGUGGCCGGUUCAGAUCUCUUCCGCCGGAGUUUCAUCGGAAAUUGUUUUCUCCUUUUUGUAACCGUUGAAAGAUUUGUAAGGCCUUAGCCCAGGCCCAAUUGGGGUGAUUUUCGUUUUUCAUCAAUAUAUUAUUAACUAUUAAAAAAAA
Molecule: long non-coding RNA, 405 nt
Filed under: Arabidopsis lyrata
Lineage: Eukaryota; Viridiplantae; Streptophyta; Magnoliopsida; Brassicales; Brassicaceae
Description: long non-coding RNA (ALYR_LNC003050)
Source: RNAcentral